Lytechinus variegatus (green sea urchin) is the source of this 346-nucleotide long non-coding RNA. RefSeq lists it as uncharacterized. The record is from RefSeq and is a predicted model, not a curated record. The transcript is spliced from 3 exons. NCBI's taxonomy places the organism in Eukaryota, Metazoa, Echinodermata, Echinoidea, Temnopleuroida, Toxopneustidae.
CAUCCAACUGGUUCCAAAGACAGUAUCCGAUGAAGACAUUUGGUUGCCACCUGAGUUCGAUCGGGUUCUCACUCACAAACUGAUUUGUAAACAGCCAGAUUGCCUCUCAUCACCUUGUCUGAAUGGAGGUAGCUGUGUGGAGACACUUGAUGGAUUCGAGUGCAGCUGCCAGUCGGGAUAUUAUGGACCGGUUUGUGCCUGGACUUGUCCAGAUUCUUGGAUCUAUUUUCGAGGGAGCUGUUAUGGUUAUUUCUCUGAGGGAGCUACAUUCGAGACGGCCCAAUCGAAUUGUCGUGAUGUCAUCAUAUCGGGAAGACAAGCAAACAUACUGUCCAUUCACAGCCGG